CAAGGGCAGAGGCAGAGUGGCCUUCCUCUUCCACAGGAGGAAGAGGACCAAAGGUCAGCCCCAGAGCAGCUGUAUCGCAGGGUGACAGCUAUUUUCCUUUCUUCCUCGUUUUUCAGUUGUAAGAGGUGGAUUUGUUGUAAAGCUGACCAAGUUUAAGCUUCCGAGCUCUUCACUUGCAAGGGUCCCUGUAUGUGCCGGGAAAUUCCAG
This is a long non-coding RNA of Mirounga angustirostris (Northern elephant seal), 208 nucleotides long. RefSeq lists it as uncharacterized. The transcript has 3 exons. The record is from RefSeq and is a predicted model, not a curated record. Lineage: Eukaryota; Metazoa; Chordata; Mammalia; Carnivora; Phocidae.